AAGGAGCCCACCACGUAGAUCUGAUAAUCCUGAUGCUUGGGACUUCCAUUCAUAUGGUAAGAAUGGGCAAUCAGGAUCUAGGAGAGGUAUUGGUGGUGGUCCCAUGGAUGCUAGGUCAUCUAAACUAGAAAACGAGAUAGAUCAGGUUGGCACAAGGAGAGGAUGGGCCAAAGGAGCAGGACCUGUUAGGUUUGGCGAGGGACCUUCUGCUAGAAGUAUCUGGCAAGCUUCAAAGGAUGAAGCAACUUUGGAGGCAAUCCGUGUGGCUGGUGAUGACAAUGGAACUGCUCGAGGUACUAGAGUAGCUAUUCCAGAAUUAGAGGCUGAAGCACUAACAGAUGACAAUAACAUGCAAG
RNAcentral lists this unclassified non-coding RNA (356 nucleotides) under Hevea brasiliensis (rubber tree). The record is from RNAcentral. Lineage: Eukaryota; Viridiplantae; Streptophyta; Magnoliopsida; Malpighiales; Euphorbiaceae.